GGAGAAUGUAAUUGAGAUCUUUCCACUGUUUCAUUGUCCUCUGCAGCCCAUUGAUAGGGCCCACAUCUGGUACUACCAGCUGAAGUUGGGCUUCUACGUCUCUCUGCUUCUCCUUGUCUCUGUGGACGUCGAGGAAAGAUUUCAAAGAGCAGGUGAUUCCCCACAUUACCACAAUCGUCCUGCUUGGUUUCUCCUACUGUUCCAACUAGAAUAAUCCACACAACCCUUAUGCUGUCCAUGGAAGUAUUUGAACCCUUCACUAGCUACAAUUAUUUCAAUGUUCUUCUGAUGGUGCUACAAGCACUUCAUGUCUUCUGGGCUGUGUUAAUCCUACAGAUGGCCUACAGGUUUCUCUUCUUGAGCAAGCUGGGAUAAAGAUGAACUCAGUGAUGAAGAGGGAGACGGGGAGGAGGAAGACGAGGAGAAGGAGUAAUGUUGGGAGAGAAGUAAAGAUGGUGUAAACGCCAAACUGAAAAUGCUGACCAAUAGCUGUGUCUUAAAACAACCUAACAAAUCACAGAGCUGCUGUUGUGAGAAAGAUACGCAAUGCGCAGUAGAACUGUGAACCUAGACAGAGUUCAACAAAGAUUAAAGGCUUUAAAUACGGGACAGAGUUAACCAUAACCAUCUAAGCACAAUACAGCUGUAACUCCACUCACAUAUGCCCAUUCAUUGUCCUACUGUAUAAAAUGUGAAUAGGAAGUACCCUAUGUAUUUUUAUCAUUUCAAAUACAUCUUUUCCUCCAUCUAUGGGUUCCUUGGCCACUAUUCCUCUCAGCAUAGUCAACUCGAUAACAAUGGGCCUGC
Oncorhynchus tshawytscha (Chinook salmon) is the source of this 807-nucleotide long non-coding RNA. The record is from Ensembl. Lineage: Eukaryota; Metazoa; Chordata; Actinopteri; Salmoniformes; Salmonidae.